CAGUAGCCGGGGAAUACGGAGGGGGCUAGCGUUGUUCGGAAUUACUGGGCGUAAAGCGCGCGUAGGCGGUUACUCAAGUCAGAGGUGAAAGCCCGGGGCUCAACCCCGGAACUGCCUUUGAAACUAGGUGACUAGAAUCUUGGAGAGGUCAGUGGAAUUCCGAGUGUAGAGGUGAAAUUCGUAGAUAUUCGGAAGAACACCAGUGGCGAAGGCGACUGACUGGACAAGUAUUGACGCUGAGGUGCGAAAGCGUGGGGAGCAAACAGGAUUAGAUACCCCGGUAGUCCCUGUCUCUUAUACA
This 301-nucleotide ribosomal RNA is filed under the name uncultured bacterium. Its description in RNAcentral is "partial 16S ribosomal RNA". It matches the Rfam family "Bacterial small subunit ribosomal RNA", at positions 509 to 808 of the family's 1533-position model. The record is from RNAcentral.